CCUACAUUUGUAUGUAAGGCACAGUAAAGGAAAAAAGACAUCCCUUGCCUUUCAGACAAUUUGGGCUUGAGCAGGUGUAGCAUGCCAAGUAAGAAUAAUAGCAAAACAACAAAGAAGGAAAGAGGAAAGACCGCAAGAGGAAUGGGAGCACAAGGAUCAUAUAUACUCCAGCUAAGAGUGGGAGCCUGCAGAAAGAAACUCACUGUCCCAAGAUCUGCACCAAGAAGCUCCAAGCCUAAAUGGACACAAGCUGUAAAGUUUUUCUCCUUGCAGAUUCGUUGAAAUGCAUAAUCUGUCCGAGGACUCCAGUUGUGGUGGUGACGGUCACAGAAAAAAAGAUUGGAAGUACCUGAAAAUAUUGGAAGAUUUCUAAAAUAUACACAAAAGCAGAGCUGAGACCCACCGCUGAAGAGUUGCAUUCCUUUAUGGGACUGACUUUCAUCAGUCAUUUUAUUGAUCAGUGUAGAAAAAUGUAAGUUAAUGCACAUGGAGAAAACCCUGGCCAAACACAUAUGAAAUCCGAUCCAGCACCACUUCUCUGACUGAUGCUAAUUAGUAAUAGGACCAUGGGGUUAUAAUAGGUAAUUUCAUGGAUCUAUCACCUCACUGAUUAAUAACAAUCAAGCAAGUCAUCUAAAUAGCAG
RNAcentral lists this long non-coding RNA (644 nucleotides) under Zonotrichia albicollis (white-throated sparrow). RNAcentral describes it as "lncRNA (ENSZALG00000007205.1)". The record is from RNAcentral. Lineage: Eukaryota; Metazoa; Chordata; Aves; Passeriformes; Passerellidae.